GUGCAGGCGGCUGCUAUACAUGCAGUCGAGCGGACCGACGGGAGCUUGCUCCCUUAGGUCAGCGGCGGACGGGUGAGUAACACGUGGGUAACCUGCCUGUAAGACUGGGAUAACUCCGGGAAACCGGGGCUAAUACCGGAUGCUUGAUUGAACCGCAUGGUUCAAUCAUAAAAGGUGGCUUUUAGCUACCACUUACAGAUGGACCCGCGGCGCAUUAGCUAGUUGGUGAGGUAACGGCUCACCAAGGCGACGAUGCGUAGCCGACCUGAGAGGGUGAUCGGCCACACUGGGACUGAAACACGGCCCAGACUCCUACGGGAGGCAGCAGUAGGGAAUCUUCCGCAAUGGACGAAAGUCUGACGGAACAACGCCGCGUGAGUGAUGAAGGUUUUCGGAUCGUAAAACUCUGUUGUUAGGGAAGAACAAGUACCGUUCGAAUAGGGCGGUACCUUGACGGUACCUAACCAGAAAGCCACGGCUAACUACGUGCCAGCAGCCGCGGUAAUACGUAGGUGGCAAGCGUUGUCCGGAAUUAUUGGGCGUAAAGCGCGCGCAGGCGGUUUCUUAAGUCUGAUGUGAAAGCCCCCGGCUCAACCGGGGAGGGUCAUUGGAAACUGGGGAACUUGAGUGCAGAAGAAGAGAGUGGAAUUCCACGUGUAGCGGUGAAAUGCGUAGAGAUGUGGAGGAACACCAGUGGCGAAAGCGACUCUCUGGUCUGUA
This 720-nucleotide ribosomal RNA is filed under the name Bacillus licheniformis. Its description in RNAcentral is "bacterial SSU rRNA". It matches the Rfam family "Bacterial small subunit ribosomal RNA", at positions 33 to 738 of the family's 1533-position model. Lineage: Bacteria; Bacillati; Bacillota; Bacilli; Caryophanales; Bacillaceae. The record is from RNAcentral.